UCACGAGGGUGUGGAUGUGGGUUUACAGAAUAGAGAAUAAUGGGGGGAAAUUUAAAGAAUAGAGAAAAAUGGACCAAUAACAAAGAAUAGAGAAAAAUGAGGUGUUUAAAUAUAAAGAUUAGAGAAUAAUUGGCAAAAAGUAUAAAGAAUACAUAUAGGAAUUAACGACCCCCUCCUCCGCAAUCCAGACAACCCUUCAUAAAAUAGUUGGCACUGUCACAG
This 222-nucleotide long non-coding RNA is filed under the name Mytilus galloprovincialis (Mediterranean mussel). The record is from RNAcentral. Lineage: Eukaryota; Metazoa; Mollusca; Bivalvia; Mytilida; Mytilidae.